GCCUCCUGCGCUCCGCCCCUCCCUGCUGCCAACCGCCCGGCGCGCCCGGCACUGCAGGGCCCAGCUCGGCCUUAGCUUUGUCGCCACUACUUCCGCUACGAGAGGCGCGCGCGCAGGCGCAUUCCCACUCACGGGUGGCCGAGCGGAAGUGAAGUGAGGCCGAGCCAGCGGCCGGGAAGGUUUCAUAGGAGGCUUCACGAGGUUGGGCGCCCGACCCGUCUCUGCCUGCCGUGUGGCGGCUCUUCGCUGACCUCGAAAACAGUGCCUGCUCGUUUUUACACACCGACUGCGCGCGAAGGUUGGCGGCCCGCCCUUCCCCGCGCCGGCCGCUCAUUCCCACGACACAGACAAGCACAAUCAUGGCCGCUGUCCCAGAGGCGUUGGAGCGCGCUCAACAAAGUCGACAGGGAAGCCUCUCCGGGGGCGACCGUCACAAUCUCAUAGCGACGCGGGGUGGGUGGGUUCUGAGAGAGGGCCGAGCGCCCAGAGGUGCGAUGUUCCUGCCAGGUCCGCAACGAACAGCCACCAGUGCCUCGCACCCUUUCAUUUAAACACCUGCUCUAGCGAGAUCAGGUAGCCACGAACACAAAUUCGGAGGAAGGACGUGCUUCUGUGCCCGUGUGUAAUUAAAGACCAAAGUUAAGAUUCAGCGAGGAAGGACCCCUGAAGUUUUUCGUGCAAGUAGGGAACAAGAGCGAAGCUGGAACAGCAAGUAGAAACAAAUCGUUCAGCGAUUGAAGCUAAAGAACUAGCAGGACCGCUGGCCAGUAACUAUGCCUCUUGCCACAUGAAUUUUUCGCUUGCACAGUACCUCAUAAGUGUUUCUUGAUUGGCUUUACUAAGCUUUGGUGAGCCCGAUGCAGUAGCCAUCGAACUGAAGGCUUCUCGCACCUAUGUCCACUAGAGGGCAAAAGCUAUACCUGAACAUCUCCAUCAAGCUAGCCAUCGUCAAUACUACCAAAUGUGUUUCUAAGUUCUGCACCUAUAGUGUUACUGGGAUCUUUAGUGUAUUCCCCAGUCCUCCGGUUGAAGAAAUCAUCCCUCUCCACUGUGCUUCCUGUUGUGAAAGUAAACGAGAAAAAAAAAAGCACAAAAAUGCCAUUAUGAUAAUAAAUUAGAGAGAGGGAUGGCUCAGAAAUAGCUCAAGGCUUUACAAGGAUUCUCAAGUUUAGCUCUGAAAAUCAUGCUAACAGACCAUCCCUCCAACUGAGGCUACUACACAAAAUAUGGAACCUAUAUCAAAGAGAUAGUUUACAAGGUAAUGGAACUAGAAGUGGGAAUUGCAAUUUGGUAUAAGGUUUGGGAGCUAGAGAAGGGGAAUUACAAACUGAUAGCAAAGAGUUUUUGCAACACAAG
Molecule: long non-coding RNA, 1356 nt
Filed under: Fukomys damarensis (Damara mole-rat)
Lineage: Eukaryota; Metazoa; Chordata; Mammalia; Rodentia; Bathyergidae
Description: lncRNA (ENSFDAG00000024446.1)
Source: RNAcentral